This is a non-coding RNA of Oryctolagus cuniculus (rabbit), 10672 nucleotides long. The record is from RefSeq and is a predicted model, not a curated record. NCBI's taxonomy places the organism in Eukaryota, Metazoa, Chordata, Mammalia, Lagomorpha, Leporidae.
UUGAGAAAUGCAGUGGCCCUGGAGACUAGAAAAUCCAAGAUGGAGGAACCAGCAUCUGUCAAUGAACCCGCUCCGGAAGUGAUGCCUCUGGAAGUGACGUCAUAAUGAUGCCCCGGAAGUGACGUCGUUAAUCCUGCCACCCCCGAUGCGGUUGCCAGGGGAUUGGGUUUCCAACACGUGAAGGUCAAGGCUCGCAUCAAACCACGGCAAUGUCAGGCCAAUGUGGGCGACAGACACCCGCUCUCCAGAACAGAGUUCUUUUGGGGGGACAGCAAGGGAUUGCCAUCUGGAAUAUGCAAGCCCCGGUGGGCCCCAGGAGGGUCCGAGGAGGCCGGGGCAAGAUCGAGAGGACAAGUUCAUGCGUGUUGUUUGGAGAUCCUUCUCACUGGCUCCGCGGCGGGAGUCGGCGGUCACUCGCGAAGCGGCUGUCGCUGGGGAGACGGCUCUAUCCAAGUAGAAGUGACUUAUUUGGAAUGCUGGGAAUGGUUUCGUGGGUUUUCAAGAGCCCCUGCAAGGCGUAUGAAUUCUUGGCUUCAAAUUUCCUGGAGAUAAACUUCUGGUUUCUAAAAGAAGAAGCUGGGAAGAAAGAUGGGAGGAAGGGGCGGUCUGCUCCCUUCUGGCUCCCCUUCCUCACACCCCCCCCCCCAAGCAAGCUUCUAGAAGGUUCCGUGGUUCCUGAGCUUCAGCCUUCACCUCCAGAGCCAGGCGGCUGACCCAACAAACCGACAUCUUGUAAGGGAACAGCUGGUGGAGAAAAAACACCCAGGAGGAACCGCUGCUGGCUGGUAGGAAGCAGACAGGUCUGGGAAGACAAGUGGCUCUAAGCGGCAGUGACAGUUGGCGUUUGCAGAGGGAAGCAAGCAAGCAGCUGCAGACAGGAGAGCACAGCUGGCUUGAUUUAGGAAUAACAAAUCCAGCCCUGUCUCUUGCAGCUUGUCUGCCCUCCGUAAACACAGACCGAGCAAUCCACAGACGCAGGUUCAAAUUACCCGGGCGUUCCAGAGCGCAGCAUGGGGGCCUCUAGGGAGAAGUUGGGAACAGUAACUGGAUGGAGAGAAGGGGAGCCCAGGACCACCCUGUCCCUCUUGCCACGGGCGGUGCACGGAGAAGACAGAAGAGCACCGGGGUUGGGUGAUAGUUUGGGAGAGCGGGAGGACAGACCCCCCUCCUUUUCCAGAACCUUCUGGAGGAACGAUUCCGCCUAGCGCCUUUGCUCUUCCACACUGCCUCGUUAAGAUGCUUGUUUUGACAGCUUCUGCCAAAGGCAUCCUGGAAAUCCACUCCCACAUUUGUUUGGCUUGGGGUUUUCAUCUCCCAGUGGGGUGCAGAGAGGGGUGGGGCUGGACCUCAGCCAGGACAUCCUCUUCGAGGGACAAGCAGCCACGUGGAGCCGCUGGAAGAGCCCUUCCUCGUGGCAGGAGCGUUCUCAGGUCCCCACGUUCCACCUGCUCCCAAGGCCCCACACUGGCCUUGGAACGCUCCCACCCCCACCCCCAGCCCUGCAGCUCUGAGUGAGGCUGGCAGGAGCCCAGGAAUCGCCCCUUGCAGUGUCCGGAGCACCACGUGGCUAUGGAGGUUUAUCGCCAGCUGUUAGCCCAGCUUUGCUGGGUACAGCCUAAGGCUAUUAACUCCCUAUCUUGUCUUCAUCACGAGCUAAAUGAAAGCAUCCUCCGCCACGCUUCCUCCCUCUCUCACCUCUUGCUCACCCCACGUAGCUGGCCUCUUGGUCGUUUCCAGGAAUGUCUUUCCCGGCUUCCUUCAAAGCACUUGGGUCUCGAGGGCAUCCCAGGGAGUCUGCCUGGAGACAGAUCCUCAGCCAUGAAGGGUGGCUGGCUCCCGCCAUGGCCUGUACAAGUUUUCAGGGCCACCUUGAGGUCCCCGUUCCAAUCCUAAGAGAAGUUUUCCCACCUCGGGAGCCCCCUCCUUGAACAGCAAGAGGGGUCACCAGGGACAAAUCGCAAAACAGAAUGCUGGGAGCGUCCAGGCAUGGAACCAGCCAUGAGCACGCUAGGUGCCCAGGAUUGGAGAGCAGAAGGGAGGGCCCCAAACCCAGGAGACAGAGCAGCCAGGGCUGCAGGUCCACGUCUGAUGUCCCCUUCCUCUGAGGAAGCAGGAGGGGACAGGAGGGGACUUGGGGGCCUCCUUGUGCUGGGUAAGAAAAGGGUCCUUCCAGUGUCAUCUCCCGAGGCCAAGGAGAAAGAAGAGCAGUCGCUUCCAACUUUUGUGGUGACACAUUUUCUCCUAAUCCCCUCAGCCAGCUUCUCCUGUAGGCUCACAGCCCAAACCAAGGUCACCAGUUCCCAAACGGUGCCCCUGGCAGGUGCCUGGCGCUGCUGAUUGGGGAGGCACGGUGGAAGGGCCCAAUAGCCAGUUCUGGUUACCUGUGAGGGGAAAGAAGGCAGGGGGAGAGAGCGCCUCCCUGGGAAGCAGUGUGCCAGGGUUUGUGUAGCAAGAGCGAGGGGGAGGCACCCGGGGAGGUGGAGUGGGAGGGCACCCCCUGCUCAAGCCAACUUCACCUUCAUACACGGAACGGCAGUGGCGGGGGGGGAGGAUGACUCCAACUCAGGGUGGGGGGGCCUCCUGCAGCUUCACUGGCCAGCUGGUGGUCUCACCCCCCCUCUGAGCGCCAUUAUGACAGAGCCUUCCUGGGACUGGCAUCGUGGCCCAGCAGGUUAAGCCGCUGCCUGUGACGCCUGCCUCCCCUACGAGUCCCGGUUCGUGACCCGGCUCCUCCACUUCCGAUCCAGCUCCCUGCUGAUGUGCAUGGGAAAACAGCGGAAGACGGCCCGAGUGCUUGGGCCCCUGCACCCAUGUGGAAGAGCCAGAUGGAGUUCCAGGUUUCUGGCUCCAGUCUGAUCCAAAUCUGGCUGUCGCAGGCAUUUAGGGAGUGAAUCAGUGGAUGGAAGCUCGCUCUCUCGCUCUCUCUCUCUCUCUCUCUCUCUGUCACUCUGCCUUUUUUCAUUGAAGAGAGAUCCCCCCAGAAUCUACGUGCACCCAGAACCUCAGACACUGACCACACGUGGAAAGGUGGGCAGACACCGUCAUGGAAGGAGACAGGAUCGUGCUGGGGGGGCAGGCCCAGAACUGGAGCAAGGACCCCUCCCCCAGAGAGACCCAGACAAAGGUCACGGGGACCCAGAAGUAGGCAGAUUGAGGAGGGUGGGGUGUUGCUGGGGCAAGGGAGGGCGCUCCCCGGAGCCUUUGGAGGGAACACCAUGCUGUAGGCACAUGGACUUCCAUCUUCCAGAAUAGAGCACCGUGAAAAUGCACAUUUGCACGGCUGUGAGUCCCCAGGUCGGAGGUGAUUAGCCCAGCAGCCCUGAUGAUAAACUCACAUGCCCUCUCUCCCUCCACCUGCCCCCCGACACACACACACACACACACACACACACAAAGCCACCUCCAACAUGUGCACGUGCAAGACGCCAGCAGUCUCUCUCAGAAGACCUGGGCGCCUGGGUGAUCCCCCAGGUCGCCCAACCUCUGAGCCUCACCCAUUCGGUCUGGAUGUGAAAUAGGCACAGCUCCAUACUUCCUGCAGUUCUUUUUUUUUAAGAUGUUUAUUUAUUUAUUUGAGAGGCAGACAGAGAGAGGGAGAGACAGAGAGAAAGGUGUUGCAUUCACUGGUUCACUCCCACGACAGAUGGAGCUGGGCCGAUCUGAAGCCAGGAGCCUGGAGCUUCCUCCAGGUCUCCCAAGUGGGUGCAGGGGCCCAAGCAUUUGGACCAUCUUCCACUGCUUUCCCAGGCCAGAGCAGAGAGCUGGAUCAGAAGAGGAGCAGCCGGGACUUGAACUGGUGCUCAUAUGGGAUGCCGGCACUGCAGGCAGAGGCUUAGCCUACAGAGCCACAGCGCCAGCCCUCGGCAUUUCUGAGAGCUGAAAUUCUCCCCUCCAGGAGACAGCCUCGGACAGGUGCAGGCAGAGGCUCCUCCUUAAACGACCUUGGCCUUCCUCGGUAGCCGGAGCCUAGACAGGGGCACUGGGAAGCUUCCUCUUCUUCUAAGGCAUAUGGCCGCCACGGGGGAGCUGCUGGAGCCGGAGCAGGCUCUGGAAAGCAAGCCAGUCUCCAUUCAUUUAGCAAAAGCAUUCUUUACCACCUUGUUGCAUGCUCACGGUGAUAUCCAAAAGCUGUACCUGACCAACACCUCUUAAAGGAAAGGAGCUGUUGUCUUUAGGACUUGGGACGCAUGGCACCAGAAAAAAAUGCCAGGGCAGAAGCCAAAUGGAGCCACGCGAAGGCUUGCUAUGCAACUUGAUUUUUCCAAGAACCAAGUCCCCCAAUGAAGAGCUCAGUUCCAGACACGCUUUAACUUAGUGGAUACAUGGGGCCGGUGCUGUGCCAAAGUGGGUUUGGCCUCUACCCAUAUGGGUGCCAGUUCGAGUCCCGGCUGCUCCACUCUGGUCCAGCUCUCUGCUAUAGCCUGGGAAAGCAGUGGAAGAUGGCCCAAGUCCUUGGGCCCCUGCACCCACGUGGGAGACCCAGAAGAAGCUCCUGGCUCCUGGCUUCAGCCCAGCUCUGGCCAUUGCAGCCAUCUGAGAGCUGGAAGCCAGAGACAUUAAGCAUCACCCUCUUUGGUUAGAAGCAAAGGUCAAGGUCCCAACCGCUGCGGUUCCUUGCCCAGGUACGGAGGGAACUGGAGACUGGAAAGAGCCUGGUCCCCACCCCCUGGGAGCGUCCCUCCCUCCUCAGCCACCCACUUCUGGCUUCCCAUGCACACCUGGCGGAGUGCGCCGAUGCCCGGUGCCCCACGAACCAACACAGAGAAGCUGCCUGCUCCUGCCUUCCAAACCACGAAAGCUCAAUUUGCAAGAUUCUUUUUUUUGUUGUUGUUCAGCUCUUCAAAGACAAAAAACACCCACUAUUUCCCAUCUGAUCCAAGACCGCAGGAUUGUUUUUAAUUCCAUUCAUCAGUAUCUCAUUCACCCCAAGAGACGAGGGGAUGUUUCCAUAUUUACAUAACCGGGCUCAUCAGUUUAAGGUCCUGGGUCCCUCCCUCACAUGGUGGCAAUUCCAGUCCCUGACAGCCUUCCAAGUUUACUGUAAAGACCAACAGGGUCUCAGACACCCAGAAAACAAACUUCUUAUGUUUUUAUAAACUCUAUAAAAUUGUAAAUUGGAUCAAACUUUGCAUCCAAAAGCACAUUCUUGGGGAAUAUUUUAUAUGCACAUAAAACAGAGAAAAUGCUAGCAUCGCGAUCUUAACUGCACACUGGAAGCCACUAAAAGUCGGGUGAAUGUAAUCCAUCUGGGACGCGCCUUGAGACCGGAGGCUUGGAGAGCACAAGAGAGCCUCAAGGGAGUCUGACGCCGCCCAGCUCCUGUUCAUCAGCUGGCACCACCGUGUUUCUGUCUCUUGCUCCAAACGAAGACGCGGACAGUCCGAGGACCUCAGCUGUCAACGGCGAACCUGCCGCCAGGCUGGGCAAAGAAAGCGAUGGCCACCAGGGCCUGGCUCUGGCUCCAGGUGCGUGAUAAGUUGCUAAGAGCCCCUUCACUUGUCCUGGCUUCCUGCACAGGCCUUUUCCCCAAGGCCAUGGCCGGGUGGGGGUGGGGCGGGGGUCAGUGGCAAUCCAGGUUUUGCUACAGCCUUUGGGGCUUGUUUGCUCAAGACUGUCCAUUAGGCGUUUAUUAGCCUUCAUUAUGGAGUGCGGCAAGCCUAAUUAGUUCCAGCUGAGCGGGUGGGGGGCCGCAGGGGGAGGGGGAGCUGCAGGCACCCUGUGAGUACAGCUGGCACUUGCCUUCCAGGAAAAACUGCAUCUCCUUGUUAUCUGUCAGCACAGCAAAUUAGGCCCCUCAUUAUCACAUCUGCAAGGUGCAUGGCACACCCAGCGGGGGAGGGGGGGCCCUGGGGAUGUGGGGAGAGGGGCUGGCUUCCAGGGAGGCCUCUGGCCGCACCUGGCUCUUGCGCCUGAUAGGAUCUUGCCUACCAGGACCAGGUCAAAUGCCAAGAGGAGGGGCCCUUAGGGAGAGGAGAGAGCCCCUCCCCCACACUCUUGCCUCCACCCGUGAGCCCCCCCUGAUGGAGACCCGUGGUCUGGGGGAUUCUUGGACAAGACUUUGACUGCGGACUGUGACAACAUGGAGACAGCGGGGAUUUUCUCCGCGGCUUAUAAAGGUAGAGCGAGUCUCUGUUUUCAAUGUGCCCAAGAGUUGCCUGAGAGAAGCAGUUAGAAUGCAGGCCCUGGGGCCCCACCCCAAAUCCGGCAGACGCCCACGGGCCUCUCCUGGCCGGUGAUCGGUGAUGGAAGACACCACGCUGGGCCGGCGCCCACACCCCGGACUGGAACGCCUGGUUUGAGUCCUGGCUCUGCUUCCAACCCCAGCAUCCUACUAAUGUGCACCCUGGGGGGGUCGCAGUGGUGGCUCAAGCAACUGAACUCCCGCCACCCGCAUCAGAGACCCGCAGGGGGUGCCUGGCUGCUGGCCAGUGUGGGCGUGCGGGGAGCAAACCAGCCUCUCCAAUACAAAUGACGGCCAUGAUGAUGAUGACGGUGAUGAAGAAGAAAAGCAAGUGCAGAAUGAAGCAUUUGAUAAAGAAUUCAUGCACCCAACAGUUCCCACGCAACUCCUACCACAGCAAGGAGCCAUGGGCAGGGGCUGGACGGGGAGGCGGCAGGAUGGUGGCUCUGACAGCUUAGCAGUGGGGUCCCUGGACUGCACACUGGCCCAGGGGGCCCGCAGGUGGACGUAGAGUUUGGAAUCCUGUUUUAGGAGAAGAGAAAGUCUCCCAGGAAUCACAGCAUUCGCACGGGCACUGGCACAGGUCUAGAACUGGUCAACAAGGGAACCCAGGACAGGGACAGAGGGCCAGCAGAAGGUUUUCUUUUUUCUUUCUUUUUUUUAAGAUGUAUGUCUUUAUUCGAAAGUCAGAGCUACAGAGAGAGAGAGCGAACGGCAGAGACAGACAGAUCUUCCAUCUGCUGGUUCACUUCCCAAAUGGUUGCAAUGGCCAGGGCUGGGCCACGGUGAAGCCAGGAGCCAGAAGCUUCUUCCAGGCCCCAAAGAGUUGGAAGAGGCCAGACCGGAAGUGGCGCAGCCAGGACUUGGACUGUGGAGGGUCGGGACAGGGCUGGAAGCGUCUGUGGACAGCUGUUGUGGUUUGCAUGCGUGGGAAGCUGGAGCCGAGCACGAUGGCCUGCUGUGGCCCCGAGAACCGGUUGCAGAAGAGCAGGUGCAGAGACGUGGCUGCAGCCCAGGCGCUGAGUGUUAGGGCUGCGCCCCCUCCCCCGCCCCGCGCACGUGCGUCAUGGGCCUGAGCUCCAGCGGCGCCAGCGCCCUCUGCUGUCUGGAGCCUACUGGGCAUCUGCGCAGAUGGGGAGUGGGCCCAGCAGCCCGCAGGAAGCUCCCCAGACCCGCCGCUCCUCUGGGGGUUCCGAUCACCUGUGAGUGACACGUUGGCAGGCUGUCACUCCGCUGCCUCCUCUCCAUUCCCCAUCACCUCACCAUAGGUUCACUGGGCUGUCUCUCCGCUGGGUCUCCCACUCGGGAACUGGGGACACGCCCACCGCGAUUAGCAUGGGACACAUUAAGAAGCAGCUUUGAGCAGACAGCACAGGGUGUCAGAGGCUUCGUGUGGAAUUCCCUCCAUGAGCCUCUGGCCUGGCUCCUGAGAAGCAAACAGGUAAGAGUGUGGGACACGGGGUCGGCGCUGUGGCGGAGCAGGUAAAGCCACCACCUGCAGUGCUGGCAUCCCAUAUGGGUGCUGGUUCAAGUCCCGGCUGCUCCACUUCCGAUCCAGUUCUCUGCUGUGGCCUGGAAAAGCAGUACAAGAUGGCCCAAGUCUUUGGGCCCCUGCACCCGGGUGGGAGACCCAGAAGAAGCUGCUGGCUCCUGGCUUCCAUCUGGCCCGGCCCUGGCUGUUGCAGCCAUUUGGGGAGUGAACCAGCAGGUGGAUGAUCUCUCUCUCUCUCUCUCUCCUCCUCCUCCUCCUCCUCCUCCUCCUCUUCCUUCUCCUCCUCCCCCCAUCCAUCUGUAACUCUUUCAAAUAAAAUGAAUCUUAAAAAAAAAAAAAAAAAAGAUAGCCACAUCCCAUACCAGAGUGCCUGGGUUCGAGUCCCAGCUCCGCUCCUGACUCCAGGUUCCUACUCAUGCAGGCCCUGGGAAGCAACAGGUGAUGACUCAAGUCAUCAGGUUCCUGCCUCCCGUGUGCGAGAUCCUGACGGAGCUCCUGGCUCCAGCCCAGCCCUGGCUAUUGUGGACAUUUGAGAAGUGCACUAACAGAUGGGAGAUUUUUCUUUCUGUCUCUCCAUCUCCCUUCUGCCUCCCAAGUUAAAAGAUUGAUUGCUUGGUAGUGUGAUAGAGUAAUAUGAAGUCACAGAACCUUGGAUCAAAUUAUACUUCUAAGCCCUUCUUAGUUUGUAACCUGGGGGCGCAUGAGUAUGUUGGCUGAUAUUCCGGAAGUGAAACGCAGUUAAGAUUAAUCCCUGCCUCAUACAGUCGUGAGCAGAGCUAAGACCAGGGUGAGGUAAGUUGCCUCGGGCACAAAAUUGAAGCAAUGCCAAAAAACCUCUUAAAUAAUGUUUUAAUGUAUUUUUAAAGAUCAAAAGUAAUGCAAAAGGAUCUGCAAUGAACAAAAUAGCAAAUGAACACAGCAUCGGUGGUACAGAUUGGCACUUUUUGCCUUAGGAGCCAGUAUGACUCAGCAUGGUCCUGGGAGUGAGUUAAUGAGAAAUUAAAUGAGAUAAUACAAGAGUUGAAAAACAUCUGGAAUCCGUGUGUUAUGGGCCAGGUUGGACCUCAACUAAUAUUCCAGACUCUCGCCUUUCACGUAGAGAAGAGUUCUAAGUAAAGGCCCAAACACGACGUGCAGUGUGAUAAGGCUUAUUACAAAGUGAGAAAAUACCCAGGCACGUGAGGGCUUUACUUAGGGAGAGUGGGCCAGGGAAGGUAAAGGGUAAUUUCCACACCCUGCUCUGCUCGUCCUGAGUUCACGAGGAGGAGAGCCCCAGCUUCCGUUUUACACAGCUUUUCAUGAGCUUAGAAAAAUGGGAGUGUUCACAUGGCCCUGACCCCAAGCCCUCGGGUAAGAGGAAGUACUUCCUGGGGGAGGAAGAGGAAGUACUUUCUGAUCGGCAGGUAGGUGAACAUGGCAACACAGAGCAAGGGAGGUGUGGCUUCCCACUCAUGAACUUAGAUGAUCUGAUUUCACACAUCAUAUGUGUAGUUUGGGGUUUUUUUUAAUGAUAUGCAUUUCCCAUGAACUUUUGGAAGCAACCUCUUGUGUGCAAACACCUGGAACAGGGCGCAUCACAAAAGGGCUCCAUGCAUUUGGAAGGAAGGAGGGGUGGACCGUUUGGUGAAAUGAUUCCAAGGCUUCAGAGGUAUCACAGGCCCCGCGGGCCCCCUCUCUCUUUCCGCCUUCAUAGUGAGGUAGCUAUAUGGACAAGCAUCAGAGGACUGUGUAGGGCAAAGACAAGCAGUCGCAGCUAAAACCCACUCUUAGCCCCAGAUCCUGUCUCUUCCCAACACACCUGCCUGGUCAUUUAGCAUCUCAGAGACUCUGUCAAACCACAGCUGUGAUUGGCAGGACAGAGUCUGAUCUUCGGCGCCGCCUUCCCACUGCCCGAGGCCUGCGGUUUGGAGGAAUCCUGCAAGCGCUGGGCAGACGGCUCGCGGCAGUGGUGCAGCUCACCGUGGAGCCCUUCUUUCUGUGUUCCCACCUGACCCCAGUGGGGGCAUUCUGCCGCAGCCCGGAAAAGCUCCACCGGUCUCUUCUGCCUUGACUCUCACCGGAUGAGCCGUCCACACCAGCUCACCCCCACUACGCAUUUUCUCCAGUGAUCUGCCUUGGCUGUGACAACAGGGCUGCCCCACCCCCAGGCAGGCCACAGCUUCCAGGCUUCCAUUCUUCAAGUCUGUGAAAACCACCCCAGUGUUCACAUCACAGUACCCUGCCUCUUGCUUAAGCUUGCGCACCUGGGGAGAAAUACACAGAUGAAGAAGGAGACCCUCAUCUUUGGGGUCCUCACAGCCUGAUGACGACACGGUCUUUGUGUGACAUUGUCGGUUAGAAGAAGGUAUCCUGGGCUCCAGUGCUGAGGCACAGCAGGUAAAGUCAUCGCCUAUGGCACUGGCAUCCCAUAUGGGCACGGGUUCCAGUCCAGCUCCUUGGCUAAUGGUCUGGGAAAGCAGCAGAAGAUGGUCCAAGUACUCAGGCCGCUGCACCCAUGUGGGAGACCCAGAGGAAGCUCCUGGCUCCUGGUUUCGGCCUGGCCCAGCCCAAGCCAUUGUGGCCAUCUGAGGAGUGAGCCCACGGAUGGAAGCUCUGUCUGCAUCUCUCUCUCUCUCUCUCUCUCUCUGUGACUCUGCCUUUCAAAUGAAUAAAUAAAUAUUUUUAAAAAGAAGAAAGAACACAUGGCCAUGUCUGUUGAAGCCCCCCAGGAGCUGUCUUGAUUUUUAGCUAGGUGCACAUCAAAACGCAGGCGUUGGAUUUGUUCAUGGAGUAAGCAUUUAGCGAGCGCCUACUAUCAGCCAGGCACCGCGCUAAGGCGCUGGGCUGCAGUGCCAAACGAAGGCAGGAAAACAAACAGCGCUGCGCUGAGUGUGAGAGCCGCGGAUGACCACACAGUAUAAACAAUGUAACAGACUACAGCGUCAACCCGACUGCACCAAGGGACGCCUACACGCCGUGUUUCCGGGCGUACCUGGGAGACAUUGCCACAAAACCCUGGU